RNAcentral lists this ribosomal RNA (253 nucleotides) under uncultured bacterium. Its description in RNAcentral is "partial 16S ribosomal RNA". It matches the Rfam family "Bacterial small subunit ribosomal RNA", at positions 524 to 776 of the family's 1533-position model. The record is from RNAcentral.
UACGUAGGUGGCAAGCGUUAUCCGGAUUUACUGGGUGUAAAGGGCGCGUAGACGGCCAUGCAAGCCUGGAGUGAAAGCCCGGGGCCCAACCCCGGGACUGCUCUGGGAACUGUGCGGCUGGAGUGCGGGAGGGGCAGGCGGAAUUCCUGGUGUAGCGGUGAAAUGCGUAGAUAUCAGGAGGAACACCGGCGGCGAAGGCGGCCUGCUGGACCGCGACUGACGUUGAGGCUCGAAAGCGUGGGGAGCAAACAGG